Molecule: ribosomal RNA, 793 nt
Filed under: uncultured Bacteroidota bacterium
Lineage: Bacteria; Pseudomonadati; Bacteroidota
Description: bacterial SSU rRNA
Rfam family: Bacterial small subunit ribosomal RNA
Source: RNAcentral
AGAGUUUGAUCAUGGCUCAGGAUGAACGCUAGCGGCAGGCCUAAUACAUGCAAGUCGAACGGUAACAGGCCCAGCAAUGGGUGCUGACGAGUGGCGCACGGGUGCGUAACACGUAUGCAACUUACCCUUAACUGGAAGAUAGCCCCGAGAAAUCGGGAUUAAUACUCCAUAACACUAUGAAGAGGCAUCUCUUUAUAUUUAAAGCUCAGGCGGUUAAGGAUGGGCAUGCGAGACAUUAGCUAGUUGGUGAGGUAACGGCUCACCAAGGCUACGAUGUCUAGGGGUUCUGAGAGGAUUUACCCCCACACUGGUACUGAGAUACGGACCAGACUCCUACGGGAGGCAGCAGUAAGGAAUAUUGGACAAUGGUCGCAAGACUGAUCCAGCCAUGCCGCGUGCAGGAUGACGGCCCUAUGGGUUGUAAACUGCUUUUGUACGGGAAAAAACCCCUCUACGUGUAGAGGGCUGAUGGUACCGUAAGAAUAAGGAUCGGCUAACUCCGUGCCAGCAGCCGCGGUAAUACGGAGGAUCCAAGCGUUAUCCGGAUUUAUUGGGUUUAAAGGGUGCGUAGGCGGAAUUGUAAGUCAGUGGUGAAAGCCUGCAGCUUAACUGCAGAACUGCCAUUGAUACUGCAAAUCUUGAGUACAUUUGAUGUGGGCGGAAUGUGUCAUGUAGCGGUGAAAUGCAUAGAUAUGACACAGAACACCGAUUGCGAAGGCAGCUCACAAAACUGUAACUGACGCUGAGGCACGAAAGCGUGGGGAUCGAACAGGAUUAGAUACCCCAGUAGUCC